ACGAACGCUGGCGGCGUGCUUAACACAUGCAAGUCGAACGGAAAGGCCCUGCUUUUGUGGGGUGCUCGAGUGGCGAACGGGUGAGUAACACGUGAGUAACCUGCCCUUGACUUUGGGAUAACUUCAGGCAACUGGGGCUAAUACCGGAUAGGAGCUCCUGCUGCAUGGUGGGGGUUGGAAAGUUUCGGCGGUUGGGGUUGGACUCGCGGCUUAUCAGCUUGUUGGUCGGGUAGUGGUUUAGCAAGGCUUUGACGGGUGGCCGGGCUGAGAGGGUGACCGGCCACAUUGGGACUGAGAUACGGCCAAGACUCCUACGGGAGGCAGCAGUGGGGAAUAUUGCACAAUGGGCGGAAGCCUGAUGCAGCAACGCCGCGUGCGGGAUGACGGCCUUCGGGUUGUAAACCGCUUUCGCCUGUGACGAAGCGUGAGUGACGGUAAUGGGUAAAGAAGCACCGGCUAACUACGUG
RNAcentral lists this ribosomal RNA (467 nucleotides) under uncultured bacterium. RNAcentral describes it as "partial 16S ribosomal RNA". It matches the Rfam family "Bacterial small subunit ribosomal RNA", at positions 29 to 507 of the family's 1533-position model. The record is from RNAcentral.